Molecule: long non-coding RNA, 272 nt
Filed under: Mytilus galloprovincialis (Mediterranean mussel)
Lineage: Eukaryota; Metazoa; Mollusca; Bivalvia; Mytilida; Mytilidae
Source: RNAcentral
AUUCGAAAACAACAAUAAAAAAUAUGGGUCACCGAUGAGUUAAAAAAGAUAUUUGAAUUCUAAUGCCAAAAAAUAGCAUUUUUGCACCAAAGGGAGAUAAUUUGGAGCUUUUUCAAUGAUAUCUACAUUUUAAAAAUCACCUAUUGAUUUUUUGGAAUAAUUUUUGUACCAUAUGAUAAAGUAACAACUACUAAAGGUAAUUAAUAAAAUUUGUAAUGAAAAAUAAAUGUUUAUUUUUUUUCUGAAAAUCUUAUACCCGCGAGCCUCCUUAA